Long non-coding RNA from Homo sapiens (human), 1040 nucleotides. Ensembl annotates it as Prader-Willi region non-protein coding RNA 1. Its record names the gene PWRN1. NCBI's taxonomy places the organism in Eukaryota, Metazoa, Chordata, Mammalia, Primates, Hominidae. The record is from Ensembl.
GAUUUAAAAAUUGUAUCUAAGGGGCAUGAAGCACCUUUCUGGGGCAAUGGGUCUGAAGCCAUGCAGGCUGGAGUGCAGUGGCACAAUUAUGGCUCACUGUAGCCUCACCUUCCUGGGAUCAAGCAAUCCUCUUUCUUCAGCCUCCAGAGGAGCUGGGACCACAGGCAUUCUGUGGAUGAUAUUCUGGCUUCUGAAGACUUGUCAUUGCUACAGCAACACCGAGAUGCAUUGGCACUCUUCAAUCCAGAGGAUGGGCCAUCAACGCACAAAAGUGGAAGGCUUGGACUAGCUGCAAAGUUCCUAUGGAUCACUUGGCCUGUGACUUUCCUUGCUUGAAGACUUCUCUGUCUGUAAUUCAUGCAGCGACUCUUCCUUUAUUUGAUAAAAACAGGUUCUCCCUAUGUUGCCCAAGCUGGUCCUGAACCCCUAGCCUCAAGUAAUCCUCCUGCUUCAACCUACCAAAGCAUUGGGAUUACAAGUUUGACCCACCAUGGUCAGUCCAGGGUAGGAAAUGGAAUCUUAACAACUAUCACACGAGCUUUGAGGGGAUCCUUCUCCAGAUGAGCCUUCAGUUGCGACCUCAGCCUUGGACAUCAUCUGCAUCUGGAUUCCUGACCCAGAGCAACUGAAUUUUAUGGAACCUUGUAUUCUGUUGAAUACCAGAAUUAUAUCAGCAAUCCCCAAGUCACCAAAUGGGCAUCAUCAUGACAGCAGGUGGGUGGAAUACAAAAGAAAAAAAUAUAUAUAUAUGUAUGUAUGUGUGUCUAUAUAUAUAUGUAUGUGUAUAUAUAUGUGUGUGUUUGUGUGUAUAUAUAUGUACAUAUGUGUAUAUAUGUACAUAUGUGUAUAUAUAUGGAACACUAAGGCCCAUUCUUCCUCUCAAGUAUCCAGAAAUAAAGUUGCUCCAAGUAACAAGUGGACAGCAUAAAAGAUUGUAUGGAAACUAUAAUGCAUCUACAUCUGCAGUAACUAAUCAUAAAAUGAUUUGUAUGAUCAUUCUUCACAUGAUUAGAAUUACUAUGGGAAAGAAGAAAAAGAAA